Molecule: ribosomal RNA, 679 nt
Filed under: Absidia repens
Lineage: Eukaryota; Fungi; Mucoromycota; Mucoromycetes; Mucorales; Cunninghamellaceae
Description: LSU rRNA
Rfam family: Eukaryotic large subunit ribosomal RNA
Source: RNAcentral
UGAUUCCCUCAGUAACGGCGAGUGAACAGGGAAAAGCUCAAAGUUGGAACCUCCUGGCCCUAGGCCUGGCGGAUUGUAAACUAAAGCUCUCGAGUAGUUUGGCUAGCCCAGUAAUCAAGUUCUCUGGAAAGGGACGACAAAGAGGGUGAAAUCCCCGUUUUUGGCUGGAGCGUAGUCUUGCGUUUGCUUGAAAGUGAAGAGUCAGGUUGUUUGGUAUUGCAGCCUAAAGUUGGAGGUAAAUCUCUCCUAAAGCUAAAUAUUGACGAAAGACCGAUAGCGAACAAGUACCGUGAGGGAAAGAUGAAAAGCACCUUGAAAAGGGGGUCAAAAAGUACGUGAAAUUGCUGAAAGGGAACCGUAUGAAAUCAGUCUGUCUCUUUGGUAAUCAACCUGGGCCUCGGCCUGGGUGCACUUGCCAGUGAGUACAGCCUACGACAAUUUGACUCGGGGGAAAAAAUCAGGGGGAAUGUGGCCUCGGCUUCGGUCGUGGUGUUAUAGCCCCUUGAAAAAUACUCUGGGUUAGAUUGAGGACUGCAGCGAGCCUUUGGGAUGAACUGUGGGUGCUUGGCGGCGGCUGGGAGGAAAUCUCUAUCUCUGGUAGUGUCUUUCCUUUCGCUGUCAACUCGCCUACUUUUUCUUUUUCUCGCUUAGGUCGUAGGCAUAAUGAUUUUAUAUGACC